GAUGAAUGCUGGCGGCGUGCCUAAUACAUGCAAGUCGAGCGGUAGGGCCCUUCGGGGUACACGAGCGGCGGACGGCUGAGUAACGCGUGGGAACAUGCCCCAAAGUGAGGGAUAACGCACCGAAAGGUGUGCUAAUACCGCAUAUGGUCUUCGGAUUAAAGGAUUUAUCCGCUUUGGGAGUGGCCUGCGUACGAUUAGAUUGUUGGUGAGGUAACGGCUCACCAAGUCGACGAUCGUUAACUGGUCUGAGAGGAUGAUCAGUCAGACUGGAACUGAGACACGGUCCAGACUCCUACGGGAGGCAGCAGUAAGGAAUCUUCCACAAUGGGCGAAAGCCUGAUGGAGCAACGCCGCGUGCAGGAUGAAGGCCCUCGGGUCGUAAACUGCUUUAUGAGUGAAGAAUAUGACGGUAACUCAUGAAUAAGCACCGGCUAACUACGUAGCCAGCAG
RNAcentral lists this ribosomal RNA (450 nucleotides) under uncultured bacterium. RNAcentral's name for it is "bacterial SSU rRNA". It matches the Rfam family "Bacterial small subunit ribosomal RNA", at positions 28 to 514 of the family's 1533-position model. The record is from RNAcentral.